Molecule: ribosomal RNA, 776 nt
Filed under: uncultured bacterium
Lineage: Bacteria
Description: bacterial SSU rRNA
Rfam family: Bacterial small subunit ribosomal RNA
Source: RNAcentral
UCGAGGGGCAGCGGGGAGGAAGCUUGCUUUCUCCGCCGGCGACCGGCGCACGGGUGAGUAACACGUAUGCAACCUGCCCCUGUCAGGGGGACAACCCGCCGAAAGGCGGGCUAAACCCGCGUACAUGCCACCGGGGCAUCCCGGAGGCAGGAAAGGCUUCGGCCGGACAGGGAUGGGCAUGCGGCGCAUUAGGCAGUAGGCGGGGUAACGGCCCACCUAACCGACGAUGCGUAGGGGUUCUGAGAGGAAGGUCCCCCACACUGGUACUGAGACACGGACCAGACUCCUACGGGAGGCAGCAGUGAGGAAUAUUGGUCAAUGGUCGGGAGACUGAACCAGCCAAGCCGCGUGAGGGAGGAAGGUACAGAGUAUCGUAAACCUCUUUUGUCAGGGAACAAAGGCGGGGACGUGUCCCCGGAUGAGUGUACCUGAAGAAAAAGCAUCGGCUAACUCCGUGCCAGCAGCCGCGGUAAUACGGAGGAUGCGAGCGUUAUCCGGAUUUAUUGGGUUUAAAGGGUGCGCAGGCGGUCUGUUAAGUCAGCGGUCAAAGCCCGGGGCUCAACCCCGGCCCGCCGUUGAAACUGGCAGUCUCGAGUUGGAGAGAAGUAUGCGGAAUGCGCGGUGUAGCGGUGAAAUGCAUAGAUAUCGCGCAGAACUCCGAUUGCGAAGGCAGCAUGCCGGCUCCACACUGACGCUGAGGCACGAAAGCGUGGGUAUCGAACAGGAUUAGAUACCCUGGUAGUCCACGCAGUAAACGAUGAAUGCUGGCUGUCCGG